UACGUAGGGGGCAAGCGUUGUCCGGAAUCAUUGGGCGUAAAGAGCGUGUAGGCGGCUCGGUAAGUCCGCUGUGAAAGUCCAGGGCUCAACCCUGGAAUGCCGGUGGAAACUGUCGGGCUAGAGUCCGGAAGAGGCGAGUGGAAUUCCUGGUGUAGCGGUGAAAUGCGUAGAUAUCAGGAGGAAUACCGGUGGUGUAGACGGCUCUCUGGACCGCGACUGACGCUGAGACACGAAAGCGUGGGUAGCAAACAGG
RNAcentral lists this ribosomal RNA (253 nucleotides) under uncultured bacterium. Its description in RNAcentral is "partial 16S ribosomal RNA". It matches the Rfam family "Bacterial small subunit ribosomal RNA", at positions 524 to 776 of the family's 1533-position model. The record is from RNAcentral.